UCCAAUGUGGUGUAGUGGCUAACAUUGCUGUCUUUCAUUCAUAAGGGCUUGUGAAUCGCACAGCAGCCCGGGGUUCGAUUCCCCGCAUUGGAA
RNAcentral lists this transfer RNA (93 nucleotides) under Moniliophthora perniciosa FA553. It matches the Rfam family "tRNA". Rfam says of the family: Transfer RNA (tRNA) molecules are approximately 80 nucleotides in length. Their secondary structure includes four short double-helical elements and three loops (D, anti-codon, and T loops). Lineage: Eukaryota; Fungi; Basidiomycota; Agaricomycetes; Agaricales; Marasmiaceae. The record is from Rfam by way of RNAcentral.